UCGACGAGGUUUUCUACAAGGAUUCAGUGAGAAGAGACUCCUGGCUGCAGCAAUAAAUCUGGUUUACUAGUCGUUUAAUGAAAGUGUUAAAAUCACAGCAAGCACAUCGUGGUUGUAAACUUUAGCCACUAGCCAUUUUAGCCAGUUGUGGCUAAAAAAAAGUGAAUGAUGGACACAGCUAGGGCGGACAUAGCCUAUGCUUUUCAUGGUUAAAGUGCCGAAAACUAAUUCAGGUCAAGUAAAGUCAGUGGAGGAGGAUGAAAACGGCAGGAUUGACAGGUGGCUGAGUCUUUUUCUGCAGUUACACCAUUACGCCAGUUGGUGGCGUCAAGUGACUGUCUUUGAGACAAUGUGCAGGCUCUGUCAGUCUCAGUAAUAACGAUGUUGGACAUGUGGGUAUUUAUUACUUAGUACUGAAAUAAUGUCUUAUCCUCAAUACUGUUGGUGCAUGUCGGGGAAGUUUUUAACUUUAUAGCAGAGGUGAGGUGAACGUUUUUAAAUGGAAUCAAGAAAGAAACCAUGUCAAACAGUCCGAGACGGAGAGAGAGCGAGAACAGCGCUGCAUGUUCAGUGUGUCUGGGUGGAAAAGACUGACUCACUUUCUGGCAGGUCUGUGGGGUUUUCAGUCCAGGCCCUGCGCCAGACAAGACAAGAGCAGGUCCUGAGUCAGUGCAGCGGGCCCCGAGUGGGCCGCAGCGUGGGAGCAGACGGGGAUAUGGAGCACCCCAUGAUUAAUCGGACCCAGCGGCCUGACAGCUUUACUGUCUACACUGAAAGUGAGUGACGUGACAAAACUAGAAUGAUGAAAUCGAGCUUUAGUGUUUCUUUGAUUACCAUGUUCUAGUUUUAUUGUGCCACAGUUCACUCUGUGUAGAUGGGAAGUUACAAACUAAACGGAUCAUUUUGACUGCAAUUAUUGAAAUGUAAUCCGAUCUAAGCUUUGUUUAACAAAACAUGUAAAUAAUCCAAGGAUGUAACCACA
Long non-coding RNA from Sinocyclocheilus anshuiensis, 982 nucleotides. RefSeq lists it as uncharacterized. NCBI's taxonomy places the organism in Eukaryota, Metazoa, Chordata, Actinopteri, Cypriniformes, Cyprinidae. The record is from RefSeq and is a predicted model, not a curated record. The transcript has 4 exons.